Molecule: long non-coding RNA, 279 nt
Organism: Daphnia magna
Lineage: Eukaryota; Metazoa; Arthropoda; Branchiopoda; Diplostraca; Daphniidae
Exons: 3
Source: RefSeq, a predicted model, not a curated record
CCGACAUCACCGUCACCAGCCAAUCUGAUGAACGCAACCUCGAUGGCAGCAGCCAAUGGAGCUACGCCCAGUCUGACUACACCACUCGUGAAGAGUCCCAGGCCCAAAAGAAGAUGCAAGGAGUCGCCUACGAUUCUUACGGCAAGGCUACCUACGAGGACGUUAUGGGAAACACCAACAAGGGAUCCUCUUACUGGGUUUCCCCUGAAGGUCAGAAAUUCACUUUAACCUGGACCGCUGAUGAUGCUGGAUUCUAGCCCAAAGGAGACGUCAAUAACA